AACGAACGCUGGCGGCAUGCCUAACACAUGCAAGUCGAACGAGACCUUCGGGUCUAGUGGCGCACGGGUGCGUAACGCGUGGGAAUCUGCCCUUGGGUUCGGAAUAACAGUUAGAAAUGACUGCUAAUACCGGAUAAUGUCUUCGGACCAAAGAUUUAUCGCCCAGGGAUGAGCCCGCGUAGGAUUAGCUAGUUGGUGAGGUAAAGGCUCACCAAGGCGACGAUCCUUAGCUGGUCUGAGAGGAUGAUCAGCCACACUGGGACUGAGACACGGCCCAGACUCCUACGGGAGGCAGCAGUGGGGAAUAUUGCGCAAUGGCGAAAGCCUGACGCAGCGACGCCGCGUGGGUGAUGAAGGCC
This 359-nucleotide ribosomal RNA is filed under the name uncultured bacterium. RNAcentral's name for it is "bacterial SSU rRNA". It matches the Rfam family "Bacterial small subunit ribosomal RNA", at positions 29 to 416 of the family's 1533-position model. The record is from RNAcentral.